AAUGAAUGAUGACAAUUUGUUUCGGUCCCAAAUGAGUCAAUGAUUAUUCUUUCCUAAUUCUGACAUU
This 67-nucleotide small nucleolar RNA is filed under the name Pogona vitticeps (central bearded dragon). RNAcentral describes it as "Small nucleolar RNA SNORD73 (ENSPVIG00000019574.1)". It matches the Rfam family "Small nucleolar RNA SNORD73". From Rfam's summary of the family: U73 is a member of the C/D class of snoRNA which contain the C (UGAUGA) and D (CUGA) box motifs. The record is from Rfam by way of RNAcentral. Lineage: Eukaryota; Metazoa; Chordata; Lepidosauria; Squamata; Agamidae.